RNAcentral lists this ribosomal RNA (235 nucleotides) under uncultured bacterium. Its description in RNAcentral is "partial 16S ribosomal RNA". It matches the Rfam family "Bacterial small subunit ribosomal RNA", at positions 96 to 334 of the family's 1533-position model. The record is from RNAcentral.
UGGCGGACGGGUGAGUAAUGUCUGGGAAACUGCCCGAUGGAGGGGGAUAACUACUGGAAACGGUAGCUAAUACCGCAUAACGUCGCAAGACCAAAGAGGGGGACCUUCGGGCCUCUUGCCAUCGGAUGAACCCAUAUGGGAUUAGCUAGUAGGUAAGGUAACGGCUUACCUAGGCGACGAUCCCUAGCUGGUCUGAGAGGAUGACCAGCCACACUGGAACUGAGACACGGUCCAG